This is a long non-coding RNA of Zonotrichia leucophrys gambelii, 643 nucleotides long. RefSeq lists it as uncharacterized. The record is from RefSeq and is a predicted model, not a curated record. Lineage: Eukaryota; Metazoa; Chordata; Aves; Passeriformes; Passerellidae. The transcript has 4 exons.
GGAAGGCAGAAUCUGUUUCCCAUGUAAGCCAUGUGGAAGCCCCUUGCUUUUGAUGCCAUAUGUUUUCAUGAUCACAGUGAUUUGCUUUGGUUUGCUUUCAUUUACCUCCUAGAAAUAUGAGAGUCAGGGGAAAUGAGACUCCUUUAGCUUCCCCAUAGAGUUUUCUGCUGAGGACAUGGAUCACACCAGGAUAUUCAGUCCUAUUGGGGUGGUGAAGAAAGAGAAAAUCUGACUGCUUUCAAGGACCCAAGAAUAAAACUUAGCUGGAUGGACCAUAAUUUUAUCCAGAUAUAGUGGAGAUCCUCACUCAAGCUUUCUGCCUGCCUCCUAUUUUUCAAAGAAAGAAUCUUCUCCAGAGAUAAAUGACAUUUUAUCUUACACUUCUCUUUAGAGUGUUGGAGAUGGGAGAACUUUUCUUAAAUGAGUAAGAACAACCUUCUCAAAGGCAGAAUUAAUCCCAUUCUCUGAAGAAACAAGCUUUAGGAAUUCCAUCUUCCUCUCCAUCAGAUGUAUGCACAGAUGCCACCUCCUCCUUUUCUCUGAUUCCCCUCUCAGGUGAGAGAGAUACCUGGCUGAUAGAUCACAGUGUAACUCAGACCAUCUGAAAUCAAAGUAAAUUUUGAAAUAAACUAUAUUUGAGCUC